CGCCGUGCAAGUGACGUCACGCCAAAAUGAUCCUAAAGAUAACCAUAAUGCAACAGGAAAGUGUCAUGGAUAACAAAAUACAGUUUCUGCCCAUGCUAGGCAGAGAUCUGCACACACGAUGAAGAAACGAGGAGAACGUCUUUGAACUGAGGUCCAGAGCCGACAAAUAAGGUUCGAGAUCGCGUGCUCAUUGGUAUGUCUCCGACGCAUCUGCUUCUUCGAUUGCAACUGGCAUUUUACGUGGCAUUGCUGUCCGUCUGGAAGUAUAGCUAUGCACUGAAUCCAUCCAAGGAGUGUCGAUUCGACACGAACUCGCUGCACGCGAGCUGCUUCCCUAUGAUCGGCGGGCACGCCGUCACAACGAGGGCCAACGUUCAUCGCUGCCACAAGCCGAUAGACGUCACCUUCUCCAUCAUCGUACGUCCCAGCGCGCGCGCGCGCGCGCUCACGCUCAACUGAGUCAUGAGGUCCAAAAUUGUCACCGAUGGUGAGACGACGUUACGACC
Priapulus caudatus is the source of this 506-nucleotide long non-coding RNA. RefSeq lists it as uncharacterized. The transcript has 3 exons. NCBI's taxonomy places the organism in Eukaryota, Metazoa, Priapulida, Priapulimorpha, Priapulimorphida, Priapulidae. The record is from RefSeq and is a predicted model, not a curated record.